Molecule: ribosomal RNA, 224 nt
Filed under: uncultured bacterium
Lineage: Bacteria
Description: partial 16S ribosomal RNA
Rfam family: Bacterial small subunit ribosomal RNA
Source: RNAcentral
GAUCCUGGCUCAGGAUGAACGCUGGCGGCGUGCUUAACACAUGCAAGUCGAACGGACGGUGAAGAGCUUGCUCUUCAGAGUUAGUGGCGGACGGGUGAGUAACGCGUGGGUAACCUGCCUCAUACAGGGGGAUAGCAGCUGGAAACGGCUGAUAAAACCGCAUAAGCGCACAGCAUCGCAUGAUGCAGUGUGAAAAACUCCGGUGGUAUGAGAUGGACCCGCGU